Molecule: ribosomal RNA, 681 nt
Filed under: Hydrogenophilaceae bacterium
Lineage: Bacteria; Pseudomonadati; Pseudomonadota; Hydrogenophilia; Hydrogenophilales; Hydrogenophilaceae
Description: bacterial SSU rRNA
Rfam family: Bacterial small subunit ribosomal RNA
Source: RNAcentral
UCAACCUGAGAGUUUGAUUCUGGCUCAGAACGAACGCUGGCGGCAGGCUUAACACAUGCAAGUCGAACGCCCCGCAAGGGGAGUGGCAGACGGGUGAGUAACGCGUGGGAAUGUGCCCCGAGGUACGGAACAACAGCGGGAAACUGCUGCUAAUACCGUAUGUGACCGAGAGGUGAAAGAUUUAUCGCCUCGGGAUCAGCCCGCGUUGGAUUAGCUAGUUGGCGGUGUAAUGGACCACCAAGGCGACGAUCCAUAGCUGGUCUGAGAGGACGACCAGCCACACUGGGACUGAGACACGGCCCAGACUCCUACGGGAGGCAGCAGUGGGGAAUCUUGGACAAUGGGCGCAAGCCUGAUCCAGCCAUGCCGCGUGGAUGAUGAAGGCCUUAGGGUUGUAAAAUCCUUUCAGCGGGGACGAUAGUGACGGUACCCGCAGAAGAAGCCCCGGCUAACUUCGUGCCAGCAGCCGCGGUAAUACGAAGGGGGCUAGCGUUGUUCGGAUUUACUGGGCGUAAAGCGAGUGUAGGCGGGGCUGUAAGUUGGGGGUGAAAUCCCUCGGCUCUACCGAGGAUCCGCGUCCGAUACUGUCGAACUUGAGUGCAGGAGAGGAGAGCGGAAUUCCCAGUGUAGCGGUGAAAUGCGUAGAUAUUGGGAGGAACACCGGUGGCGAAGGCGGCUCUC